RNAcentral lists this ribosomal RNA (465 nucleotides) under uncultured bacterium. RNAcentral's name for it is "partial 16S ribosomal RNA". It matches the Rfam family "Bacterial small subunit ribosomal RNA", at positions 28 to 507 of the family's 1533-position model. The record is from RNAcentral.
GACGAACGCUGGCGGCGUGCUUAACACAUGCAAGUCGUACGGUAAGGCCCUUUCGGGGGUACACGAGUGGCGAACGGGUGAGUAACACGUGAGUAACCUGCCCACAACUUUGGGAUAACGCUAGGAAACUGGUGCUAAUACUGGAUAUGUGCUCCUGCUGCAUGGUGGGGGUUGGAAAGCUCCGGCGGUUGUGGAUGGACUCGCGGCCUAUCAGCUUGUUGGUGGGGUAGUGGCCUACCAAGGCGGCGACGGGUAGCCGGCCUGAGAGGGUGACCGGCCACAUUGGGACUGAGAUACGGCCCAGACUCCUACGGGAGGCAGCAGUGGGGAAUAUUGCACAAUGGGCGCAAGCCUGAUGCAGCAACGCCGCGUGCGGGAGGACGGCCUUCGGGUUGGAAACCGCUUUCAGCAGGGACGAAGCUUUUUGUGACGGUACCUGCAGAAGAAGCACCGGCUAACUACGUA